Salmo salar (Atlantic salmon) is the source of this 72-nucleotide non-coding RNA. NCBI's taxonomy places the organism in Eukaryota, Metazoa, Chordata, Actinopteri, Salmoniformes, Salmonidae. The record is from Rfam.
UCCCGUGUGGAUCAGUUGGUAGAGCAUGGUGUUUGCAACGCCAGGGUUGUGGGUUCGAUUCCCACUGGGGAA